Molecule: non-coding RNA, 73 nt
Organism: Echinostoma caproni
Lineage: Eukaryota; Metazoa; Platyhelminthes; Trematoda; Plagiorchiida; Echinostomatidae
Source: Rfam
GGGGUACUAGCUCAAAUGGUAGAGCGCUCGCUUAGCAUGCGAGAGGUACUGGGAUCGAUACCCAGGUACUCCA